CAGCUAUGCAUCACAGUGAUCAGUGGUUUCUAAGAGAUGGGAGCGACCGGAUUGGGAACAGGAACUAUUACCUGGGCAACUAACAAACUGAAGUAUACUGGCUGGGGGUUGGGGGGCAUCUUCUGCUCCAGGGAAGGCCAGGCAUGCCUUCUUUUUGCGUUAUGCUGCUAAAUAUUUUCGGACAACUUCCCGGGGCCCUGCCAGGAGUCGCAGCCACAUUAUCUCAUUCCUUCUGUCCCCCAAGGCUGCGGGGUGCGCGUUAUUAGUUUGAAAGGCCCGAAGUGGGGUGCGGUGCCCCUGGGACCCGGCUGGGCCGCUCUGGCGCCGUUCUGGCUGCCAGCCGGUAUCACUCCAAGUGAUGGACACCACAGAAAUGGGAAGCUGCCUACCACGUGGGGAGCAACUUGGCAUUGAAAGGCCCUGGCAGAAAGCACAGACUCCAGUUUGGGUACUUGGCUGUGUGACUACACAAGCUUUAGGAGCUCCGCUAUGUGGAUUUUUCUGGGAAACCAGAAGCUGUGGGCCUCAGCAAGCAAAGAAUUCCUGGGAAGGAGAGCAAACCCACUGGACCAUCGCUGGAAGGAGAGUUGAAUCACGUGACUAUGUCAGUGUGUCUUGGUCGGGAGAGGUGCCUUCAAUAACAGAGGAAGCGAAGGAGCUGGUAGAAAGCUUCUAUCUGAUGAAGACUCCUUGGGGUGAGGAUGGGGCAGGAAAACAAGGGAUUGGAGACACCUCUCUGUGAGAAAGGCACUGUUGUCAUCAUUUUUUUUUUUUCUUCAACAGAAAUCUGGGCAGAGAGGUUGAGUUACUUGUUUGAAGUUACACAGCUGGUGAGUAGCACAGAUGAAAUUUGAACAGACACUUCACCAAAGGCACAGGGAAGGCAAAUAAGCACAUGAAUAAAUACUCAGCAG
This 914-nucleotide long non-coding RNA is filed under the name Chinchilla lanigera (long-tailed chinchilla). RNAcentral describes it as "lncRNA (ENSCLAG00000025120.1)". The record is from RNAcentral. Lineage: Eukaryota; Metazoa; Chordata; Mammalia; Rodentia; Chinchillidae.